AACGCACCUUGCGCUCUCUGGUAUUCCGGAGAGCAUGCCUGUUUGAGUGUCAUGAACUCUUCAACCCACCGGUUCCUUGUUGGACCGAGUUUGGUGUUUGGAUUUUGAGCGUUGCCCUGUGCCCUGGUGCCGGUGGCUGGUUCGUAAUACAUUAGCCUCUUGAAUUUCAAUUUUCGGAUUGACUCAGCGUAAUAGACUAUUCGCUGAGGACACUCGCAAGAGUGGCCGAAAUCGAAAGAGUAGGAGCUUCUAACCACCCCUAGUCACACCUAAAGAUUAGACCUCAGAUCAGGCAGGAUUACCCGCUGAACUUAA
RNAcentral lists this unclassified non-coding RNA (315 nucleotides) under uncultured fungus. RNAcentral's name for it is "partial contains 5.8S ribosomal RNA, internal transcribed spacer 2, and large subunit ribosomal RNA". The stretch from base 1 to 52 matches the Rfam family "5.8S ribosomal RNA", at positions 103 to 154 of the family's 154-position model. Lineage: Eukaryota; Fungi. The record is from RNAcentral.